AACAUACCAUCAAAGCGUAUAACUAUGCUGCUAAACGCCAAGUCUUAAUUGCAAUUUAAGUAGGGAACUGAGAGCAUCGUUGCCAAUGUUAUAUGUUGUAAUAUUUGCAAGAAGCGCGGCUUUUUUUUCUCCUAUGCAAAACAUUGGCAACAUAAAGCAAAAAUUUACCAUAAAUUCUUGACAAUUUUUCUUGGCAUCAUUAUUGUAUUGAACAGUUGGUAGUGUGCAUCGUCGUAAAAACUAAAGUUCUUGGCCGUAGAGAGGAAAGGACAAGAAAGUUGUAAAACUUUCUUGCUACAAACUUAUUUGAGCAAAACAACGACCGAAGAAGACGCUGCUUUGUUUUUCUACGAUAAAGCUGAAGACGCAGUUUAAAAAAAAGGAAAAUGGGUGAAAAACGUGGAGCUGACAACUCUUCCAAAGAAGAAGCCAACAAAGCGGUGGUAGAGAAACGAGGACGAGGAAGACCACGGAAUGAUCCAAAUGACACUGAGAAACGCGUUGCACCCGUUAAGCCAAAAAGAGGUCCCGGUCGUCCACCCAAGGCUAAGGGUCGUGGCCGACCCAAGAAGGAUCCUGAGGAUGCCGAUGAUUAGAUGUUGUUGUAAUAGUAAGGAAUCUGACACCGCACGCUCCCUUUGAUCAAGGCUGACGUCGUGGUAUUUUAGUGACUGUUUAUUAUAUACAUAUAUAUUAAGAACUUUGUUUAUUAACUUCUUUCGUUUUUUUGUUUCAUUUUUGGAAAAUUGUAAUAAUUUGUAUUUUCAAGGAAGGAGUGGAAGAACAAACAGACUUUUAUGAUAAAUAACAACAAUUGAAUAAAUGUUUACGCUAGUUUAAUAUUCCCCUUAA
Molecule: long non-coding RNA, 852 nt
Organism: Stomoxys calcitrans (stable fly)
Lineage: Eukaryota; Metazoa; Arthropoda; Insecta; Diptera; Muscidae
Exons: 2
Source: RefSeq, a predicted model, not a curated record